UAGGGAAUCUUCGGCAAUGGGGGCAACCCUGACCGAGCAACGCCGCGUGAGUGAAGAAGGUUUUCGGAUCGUAAAGCUCUGUUGUAAGUCAAGAACGGGUGUGAGAGUGGAAAGUUCACACUGUGACGGUAGCUUACCAGAAAGGGACGGCUAACUACGUGCCAGCAGCCGCGGUAAUACGUAGGUCCCGAGCGUUGUCCGGAUUUUAUUGGGCGUAAAGCGAGCGCAGGCGGUUUGAUAAGUCUGAAGUUAAAGGCUGUGGCUCAACCAUAGUUCGCUUUGGAAACUGUCAAACUUGAGUGCAGAAGGGGAGAGUGGAAUUCCAUGUGUAGCGGUGAAAUGCGUAGAUAUAUGGAGGAACACCGGUGGCGAAAGCGGCUCUCUGGUCUGUAACUGACGCUGAGGCUCGAAAGCGUGGGGAGCGAACAGGAUUAGAUACCCUGGUAGUCCACGCCGUAAACGAUGAGUGCUAGGUGUUGGAUC
RNAcentral lists this ribosomal RNA (483 nucleotides) under uncultured bacterium. RNAcentral's name for it is "partial 16S ribosomal RNA". It matches the Rfam family "Bacterial small subunit ribosomal RNA", at positions 355 to 829 of the family's 1533-position model. The record is from RNAcentral.